Molecule: non-coding RNA, 21 nt
Filed under: Arabidopsis thaliana (thale cress)
Lineage: Eukaryota; Viridiplantae; Streptophyta; Magnoliopsida; Brassicales; Brassicaceae
Source: RNAcentral
CGCUUUCUCCAUUCGGAGCCU